CGGCUCAAACAAUAAUCUUUGCCCUUUAUAGUUAAACUAGAAUAGUUUAACAUGUGAAAUGUCCGUAAAGUAUCAUCAUAUGAUUGGUUUUAGGGCACAUUUCCAACAAUCUCCCACUUGCACUAGAGCCAAUAAGCUUAGUCAUCAAUGAUGAUACCUCUUCUGUAGUCAUUUCAUAAAUGGCUGAAUAGUAGGCCUAGACAAUGGAUAUCUAUAUGUUAUCCAUAGAAGCAACCUUGAGAAUAACGACGUCACCAUUAUACAUGAUUCUCAACCAUGUGGUUCAGUCUCUCAUAUGAGUUCGGAUCUUGAUGAGACCUUGAUUCCCAGGCUUGAGCUAUCGCCCCAUUAGUGUCAUAGUGUCAGUACACUAGAGACAUUUUCUGGUUGGAACCGAAUAGAGAGUUCAUAAAUGAACUUUCCCAUCCAAACAACAUUGUUGUAAGCUUCUAUAUGGCAAUAUAUUUUGCAUUCAUAAUGGAACACACUAAAGUCAUUACUUUUAAUGUUUCCAUCCAAAUAUCUCUUUAGUCAUAACAAAGAGAUAUCUGUUUAUCUCUUCAUUCAUAAUGAAGAAAUAUCCAAUGAUGGAUUAGAUUCAUAAUCUAAUACAUUUACGCUUCCAUUACGUUACUCUAAUUCUUCCUCGAUCUUUGAGGAAUUUAUCCUUUAGUAUUUCUUAAAUACUUAAGGACUCACUUGACAGUUGCCAUGGUUCUGAUCCUGGGCUUACACUGAUAUCGUCUUGUACCGUUCUAGGUACAACUCAUAUCAAUGUUUUUCAUACAAUACGAAAUACAUAAAUCCCCUUUAUUUACGCAUAAAGGAUUCUAUUUACGCAUUAUUUCCUUGGGAGUCAAAGAGUACGUUCUCUUUGAGAAGAGCAACUUCUUAGUCUCACUAGAGUUGUCCUUUUGAUUUGAAGUUCAUCAUCAUAUGAGAAACUUCCUAUCAUCUUUUGUCUAUAUUUAGGGCUUGAUAUAAUCCAAUUAUAUCCUAAAAUCUAUCAAUAUAGAUUUCCAUCCCAUGUAUAUAGAUUAUAUCUCCCAUAUACAUUCUAUCUUCAUAUAAUGUUUUAAAGUCAUAACUUUAAAGAAGAAGUAUUCUUUUCAUUUCCAAAAUCAAUAUAUCAUAUAUAUUUAAAUUUUAGGAACAUGAUUAACUCCCAUAAACAUUCUAUCUUCAUAUAAUGUUUUAAAGUCAUAACUUUAACGAAGAAGAAUUCUUUUCAUUUCCAAAAUUAAUAUAUCAUAUAUUUAAAUUUUAGGAACAUGAUUAACUCCCACUAAUCUUUUGUAAACCUAGUAAACAAAAGAUUCAUUUACAUCUUCAUGAGAAAUCAAACGAUUUGAUCUUUCUCUCAUAAGAUGCAUAUAGCUCCCACUAGCUUGCUAAGAUUCAUGAUGGAUGGAUCUCUACAACUUACAUGUCUUGUGAUUCAUAGUUUUAGACAUAUAUUAUUAAGACUAUCUUAAUAAUGGUUUCGGAAACCCAUAUUAUGUCCAAACAUUGAAUCACCAUUUAGUUGCAGCUAGCUAUCUUCGAAUUAAUUGAAACCAAGACUACGUCAAAGAUGGUUUCUUCAAAGUCAACCACCUUUCGAUUGUAGUUACCUUAAGCUACCAAUUAGCUUAUGAAGGUUUCAUUAUUUCGGAUCAAAUGGUCCUUUACCAUUUCCUUGGGUAUAUAUCAUAUAUACACUCAAUGUAGUCAUAAGGAUUUUCAUUCUUAUUUCUUUCAAAUUAAGAGGUGCAACUCUAUGACAUAGUCAUAAAGUUCAAACCAUUCAACUGAGACGGUUUAUAAAUCCUUCUUGACUACCUUGGAGCUUGUGGUAUAGGAACUAGGUUGUUAUAUUUGUUGAUUAUCAUCUUGUCUCUUAAAGAACCCAUUCUUUGAGUUCUAUCUCUCGUUCAUUUGCUCUUAGGCAAAUCACAUUGUAGGAUUACAAUGAACUACCCAACAAAACAACAUUUGUUAGUUGGUUUAUAGAAGCGAUAUCCAAAAGUUAAUUUAAGGAUAUCCCACAAGAUUGUUUAUCAAACAAAUAUUGCUUAUUAGCACACAACCCCAAAUCUUAACAUGCUUAAGAUUUGUCUUUCUUUCCAACUACAUCUUAUGGAGUCAUGAAAAAUUUGGAAGAUCUUCUAAUUGACAAUCAUAUUGUUUUAGAAGUAUAUAUCCUAUAUAUGGGUAAUAGAUAACAUCUAAUGAACUAAAUCUUACUCGAGUUCGUUCUUCUCCUUAAUGGAGAAAUUUAUUUAUCUUAUGAUGCUUCUUUCCUUGAUAUCUUUCAAGAAAACUAUUCUAAAGUGUUACCAUUCCUUGGAUCAAAUCUAAGGAUGUAAUUACUUUAGACGUCUUACUCAUCAACUUACAUUUCUUGAAUUCUUUGAAACAUUUUGCAAAGUAUUCGGACUUGUGUUUAUUUAAAAUAAACUAUAGUCCAACCGAGGGUGAUCUUCGGUGAAUGUCAUACAACAUGAGUAGUAUUAUGUUGUGGACAAGUGCCACUAACAUCUAAGUGAAUUAACCUCAACAACUUUGUGAUUCUUUAUUCUUUCCAAAAGAAUAAAGAUUCAAAACAUUUUGCCUCUAUACAAUUUUAAUAAGAAGGUGUUGGAUCCGGAUCUAACGAUCCAAAGCAUCCAUCUAUGACCAACUCGUAAUUUAUGUUUUAGAGGUAUCACAACUCAGUUGGGAUUAGUCACUACCUUGCAACCUUUUGGGUUUUAAGCAUCAUUGUAUUCUAAACAGUUAACACUACCAUAUCAUCUCUACUAUAGAGACAAUCAAUUAGAUUACUAUAAUCCAAUCAUUGAUUAAUAAAGAACAAUAUUUUGUCAAACAAAACAUUCAUCCAUCUCUACUAUAGUGACGGAAUUAAAUUCCUUAAAAUUGGAAUGUAAAGAUAAUCUUUGGUUUUUCCAAUUUCUUUGGUAGUUCAUAUGAGGAAGUAAGUACUAUCUGCUUUCGCAGAGAUCU
This 2985-nucleotide long non-coding RNA is filed under the name Malus domestica (apple). RNAcentral's name for it is "long non-coding RNA (MDOM_LNC010401)". Lineage: Eukaryota; Viridiplantae; Streptophyta; Magnoliopsida; Rosales; Rosaceae. The record is from RNAcentral.